AACACACUUCCUUAGAUCCGCUUCCAGAAUGUGUGAUCAUGUGAUGACAUCACAUCAUUUCAUAUUACGUCAUUCAACAGCUUGUUGCUGCGUCAUUGGAAGUGCAUGAGUCAUUGGUGUGUGACAGUAUCAUACCUCCAUGUGUGUGUUUUCAUGCUUUGUGUUGUGUUAAACAUCUCUGAAAUGUUUCAUUGAUGAUUUGACUUUGUUAUUACACAUGGCCAACUGCACUGGAGACAUU
Non-coding RNA from Paramuricea clavata, 241 nucleotides. The record is from the annotation of a GenBank genome assembly. NCBI's taxonomy places the organism in Eukaryota, Metazoa, Cnidaria, Anthozoa, Malacalcyonacea, Plexauridae.